This 31822-nucleotide long non-coding RNA is filed under the name Coffea arabica (coffee). RNAcentral's name for it is "long non-coding RNA (CARA_LNC000951)". Lineage: Eukaryota; Viridiplantae; Streptophyta; Magnoliopsida; Gentianales; Rubiaceae. The record is from RNAcentral.
UUUUUUUUUUUUUGUUGGGGGGUUGGGGAGGGGGGAUAACGUGAACUAUGAACUAACCGAGGAGUUAGACACAGGAAAAGCAGGCCAAGAGCUCCUGAAACAUGUGACGGUGUUAUCAGAUUAAAAUCAGCAGCUUAGCAGCGAAACAGAUGAAAGCCACACCCCAGAGUCGUUGAAUGAAUUUAGACUACCAUACUGAUUUGACAAAAUGCUCAACAAUUUGUCAUCAUGCAAAAGGUUUUACACACCAUAACUUGAGUUGCCUUAUACAUCACUAAGUUACAAGUUGGAUCACCCAAUUAUUUCUCUAGCCUAAAAUAAUGCAAUGACAACAAAAUAUCACAUGGGUAUAAAGUUGAAAAUAAAAUUCAAAAUUAGAUUAUCCAACAAAAAUGUGAGUUAACUUGUAUUGAAGCAAUAUUCAUGUUCUGCUAAGUGAAUCACAAAUUAGCAUCCAGGUUUCUCUUAUUUUUCACAGAUUAACAAGGCCAUGAUAUUACUGUUAGCAUACAAAAAAAAAAAGGAAUAUCAAAUUUACAUUAAGUUCAAUAUGUUAAUAAAAUUCAUGAUAAUAAUCAAAAUUUAGCAGUCAAGUAUGUGCAGAAUAUGAGGCAGUUCACUAUUAAAUGGACAAUAAUUAGCAGGCUUGCCUCUCACCUUUCUGUAGAAAAUCCUUCUGCAUUCCAAUUUCCACCUCCUGUUGCUUUAGCUGUCCCGUCCAACCAAUCUUUAGAUAAGCAUAUAUAAGUUAGAGCAUAUAACAAUUUUUUUAAAUAAACGACAAUCAACCACAAGUUAACAGAUGAAGGCAAGAAAUGGAGUCUAAGAAGUAGAAUGAAUACAUAUGCAAACUUUCAAUACCUAUAGGUAAAACUAAAGAAAUAUAGAAAACUACUCUACAAGAUUUAUGUCGAACACUCUAAAUAACCCAUGUGCACAUCACUGAAAAUAUAAGAAACAAAAUGGCAAUUGCAAACAUCAGGCACAUAGAGUGACCAACUGAAAGCCACUCAUGUUUAUAUAAUCAGAUUAAUGAUUGUUACAUUUGUUAUCUUACAGUGAAACUUUCAUAGUUAUUUGAAGUUUCAUGACAUCAGAUCGCAGCACAUCCUAAAAAAGUGUUGGUUCUGGUAAAAUUCCUUUGAUUAAAAUUUUCCUCAAAAAAUGCCUCUCACAAAGAGAGUUAUCAAAAGUUGUCUUUGUAAUUUUCACUUGGAAUUUAUCCAUGAAAGUUGAUUUGAAUCUCUUCAAAGAGAUUACAUGCUUGCUUGUGAAGUGGCUACUUUGUCAAUUCCCCUUCGUUCAAACAAUUGAUAAGGGCAUGCCUAACAGCCAGCUCAAAAUCAUAAACUUACUCCCUUCAAAAAGGACUUCCACAGAAGUCAAAUUGCUAAAUAAAACAUGUGCCAGGAACCAAUCUAAUAUCGACACCAACCUCAAUAUCAUAAGGAGAAAGAACAUGCAAGAAGAGAUUACUGUCUACUAUUAUAGUAGAUAAUUGAAGCUUUUCAACUAAAACAUACUAAUAUACAAAAAAAAGAGUACUCGUUUCAACCUGUUGAGCCAUCCUGUGUACCAAGGAGAUCAAAUGGCCUUAAAGAGUCAGAUUCCUCCCUGUGGUAACAUAAAACAGACAUUAGAAUACAAAUACAGAUACAAACCCUAGAUGAUAGACAUUAAUUCAAAAACGAUAAAUAAGUACCCCAAAGAAAUGCCAGAACUUUUUGCACGAACCUCCGCGAGAUGCUCACAUUUAACUACAAACAAAUUAUAUAGACACAUUAAUUUAGGUCAACAAGGUUUAGUCGAAAACUAUAUAUAUAUACAUAUAUAUGAUUCAUCCAACCUGUAAGUAUUUUAUGCUGAGAGUCAAGCUUCACAGUGAUGUCAGACCGCCGUAUUGCCAAACACGACAAAGGUACCCCUUCAAUGGGCCCACACGGAUUCUAAGUGAUUGUCCCACAGAGAACAUUGUAUUGUUUUCCCUGUUGACUACAUAGCAAAAACAUUUCAAGCAAAAGUAUUAAAACUUUGAACAGUCAAAGACUAUGAAAGCAGUAAGAAUGUUCACAUACAGUUUCGGCUACCAUCCCUUCCUUGAUCAGAUUGCUUAGGCGAGAGGGGACUUAGGAGAAGAAGCAAAAUCCCCAAAUACUACAGUUUCUGUUCACCACCCUAAUCCAAAAAAGAGAGCACAAAUUAGCAUUAAAGAUAAUGUGUCAACAAAAUGCAGCAGUUCUAUCCAUUCAACCCAUUCUUUCUUUUUUUCAGGUUGGCUUGCAUAUAUUGUUUGUUCGAAGCAGGUGGAAGGGAAAUAAAUUGGCUUGCACAGAAGUUAAUCAGACAUUUUCUGGGACAAAAUCAGAUGCUGAACAAAGGAAACGACCAUGAGAUGCGACAAACAGGCUUAAUUGUAUAUUUUGUAAAAGGUACAAAAGUUGUGCAUAUUUAUGAUAUCCCAAGCCAUAAUGAAAUUGUCUUAGAAUGUGUAAUAAUAGAUGAGGAUAAUUGUUUUUUUCACAUCCUAAUCCUUAUCAAAAUCAACAGGAAUUUUUUGCUCUUUUUUUUCUGAGAAAAACAUACAUUCAUAAGCCCUCAUAGCAUAAUAUACAUAAAUGGAUACGCAAAUAAACCUUUUAAACUAUUCAAGUGACAAAUGAAAACGGAAUUUGCAUCACCAUUGGACAAAUUUACACCAAAAGAGGCACUAGAAAGGGCUAUGCAAGCAGAAGCUUGUUCAUCCACAUACACAGCAUGAUGUACUGUGCUACAAGCGUAAGAAUUCUUGUGUCUCUCGGAACUCGUUACAAUCUCAUAUUGCAUAUAGCCUCCAAAUAAAAGCAAGCAUAUAAUUGUCUAUGCAUAAAAUUCCAUAUUAUGACAUAUCAAAAAUUAAGACUUCAAUUGAUACCACAUUAGUUAACAUCGGGUGAGAUUUUCCUGAUAACUUCUUCUGGAUUAUCAUCAUUUAUUAAGUGGUUAGGAAUAAAAAAAAAAUUACUAAACAAAUGGAUUCCUUCAUGUACACAAAUUCCAUUUGCAGGUUGUGGGCAGUCAUAGGUAGUCAGUCAAAAGAUUUACUACUUUCCAAAUUUAAAAACACAUACAAACCUUCUCAUUACGUGCUUCACCAGGAAGCUCAACUUUUUCGCACAACUGUGCCUUAAAGCAAAUGUAACCACUGUUCUCCUCUACGGUUUCAUUGUACAAGAAAAUAAUCCCUCUGUAAAUUUUCUUGACAAUGCCUUCUCUAUCCUGUAUAGUAUAAGCAAAUCAGCAACCAAAUAACCUAAGUCAUAUAGUGUCACUUGAAAUGCAAAAUUUUUGUUAAACCUUCAUUGGACCAUCCAAAACUCUGACUCUGUCAUUAAUUGAUAUAUUCUUCAUUUUCUGAUCAAGUGCUGUGAAUAGCUUCUUAUCGAAUGCUGCAUUCUUUAACUCCUUCCGCGGAAUAGUGACAACUACUGGUCCCUCUGAGCCCUCCUUGAUAAUCUGAAACAAAAACUAUAAUGUUAAGUCACUGGCAGUAAAGUGACCACAUAAACUGAGAGGUAUACCUUGAAAAUCUCAUCCUUCUCCGUGCCAAUGACAACACCAAAAUCCUUUCGACUGCAAUGGCAAAAUUCCCAGGUUACACCAAAGUAAGUUAAUACUCAUACUAGAAGAAGCAAUGGCAAAGCCAACGUGGAAAUAAGCGAUAACCGCACUUACCCAAAAAAACUAAAUCAUGCACUUCAAAAUCAGUGUCCAGGCUUGGCAUUGAAGAACCUUCACCUUUUCCACCACCUUUGUCACAAAUAAAGGACGUUUCUUUUUCUGUUCGCCAUAAAGCUGAUAACCACUCUAGAUCAUUGUAUUCUUCAUUCCUUGAAGGCUCAAAUUUAAGAAGCUCAUCUUCUGUAGGUGUUACUCCCCAAAAGCUUAACGAGUCAAUGGAUACUUUCUUAUACAGAUAGCCAUCCUUCAGCAUCAUCCCAUCAAGAACCUCAAAGACUUUGUUAGUAUCACGGUCCCGUCGACAUUGAAUCAGAGGCCGGAACUCUCUUUACAUAUACAAUAUGGGAAAUAUCAAUACCACAAAAACUUUAUUUAAAGACCAAACAAAAAAAAAGAACAUAUACAUAUAGCACGCAAAUUACUCGAGUUCACUAUUGCUUAUGAGUCUUGGUGCCGGAUUAGCAGUCUGUUGGCAGUAAUUCCUCUACCCUGUACAUGCAUGAACGAUACAAAUCAUAACGUAACAACCAUUUGGUGCCAACAGUAACAUAAAAGGAUGCAAAAGCAGAAGCAUAUUAAUGCAGCAGAUAGUAAAAUUAUUUAAAGCAUAUUAAUGCUGCAAAUAGCAAAUUAUUUAUCACAAACUUCAAUAGUAAUUUUGUACUAGUAAUUUCUAAUUGCUCAAUCUUGUCAAAAUUUAGACAGAGGAGAUAUGAUUUCUUUGCAGACAUGGGGAGAAGGGGAGAUCCCCAAUGUUCCUUGUCAAUAACAGGCCUUUUUUACCCAUAAGGAAAAAUAAAUUACUUCAAGUAAGAUUACCAUAAAAUGACACAUUAGUGAGAAGUAUCUUACAAAUUUCUCAGCCAAUGCUUUCAAGUCUAUCCUAGGAAUCAGCUUCACGGUCACUUUCUUCCGUGCAGAAUUUACAGCCACAACCUACAUAUAUAUAAUAGAAACAGCUAGAAAUCAGUGAAACACAAAUCUUAAAGUUAAAACUAGAAGAAUAUGGGAGAAAUACCAAAUGAAGACCGGAGAAAAGAAAAAAGAAACGGCCAAAGAUCAAACAUAUCAACAGGAACAAAACCAUACCUGUGCUAAAUCACCUUUGUAUUUCCCAUUCUUAACACGUGCCCACAUUCCCUCAGAAAUUCCAUUACUCUUGUUUUUAACAGAAAAUAAAUGAUUAAUGUCCUCCUUUGGUACAGGUGCCACGCGACUUGAAUAUAUGCUACACAGCCCAUUACACGCCUGUAUUGUGGGUAUUUAGUCUCCAAGUAAGCAAAUGAACAAUUUUAGUAGCAUAAGAAGCAACCAAUAGAAACACGGACAUCCAAUUUAUUUGGAGAAACACAAAAACUUCAAAAUUCAGAAGAUCAACGGAAGAACAAUGACUACCUCAUUAAUAUCACACUGCUUCUCUGCUUCGAUAUAAAUAAAACCCUUAACGUGAUCAAUUGUAAAUGCAGAAAUUAUCUGCAGCUUCUUUCCCAGAAAUUGCAAGUCCACGUAUUUCUGCAUGAGGCAGAAGGCUGAAUGCCUCUCACGUCCAACCUAUGGCCCAUCAAUUGCUCAUGAGCAAAAUGAUGCAAAAGAAAAGAACUUCAUAGCUUGAAAAGAAAAGGAAUCUGUUUUAAAACUUGAAAACUAUGAUGUCACAAUUUUAUACCAUGCAUUUGACUUUCCAGAUGAUUGGAUCCUUAACAGAAGGACAGUGUUCAGGCAUUUCCACCGUUCUUUUGCUCUCGUAAUUGUCUUCCGCAUAUGUCACAAAAGUAGAGCCUGGUUUGUAUCGUUCCUGUAACAUCUUUUCAAGUUCUUCUUCUGUUGGUUCCUCCACUUUGGGAACAAAAGGCAGAAAGGGGGCUCUGCUAGGUUCAGACUGGAAUUGCAUUGCUGCAGCUGCUGUGUCAAAUUCAUCUUCCAGAGAAUCUAGUUUCAGCAAAUGGUAACAAAUUAGAUUGACAAGCAUGAGUACAAGGAACCUAACAAUCAACAGAAGAUUCAUUAGUAAAUAUGCCAACAGGCUUGAUGAAAAAAUCAACCAGGAAUAUGCUAGGAGAGCCAGCACAAGAAAAUAACAAGAAGCAUCGGCACAUUUGGAUAAGAUAAAAAAUAACAGGUAGAGUGAGGACUCCUUAGCGACAAGCAGAAAACGAAUAAUGUAUCAAUGAAUUGCUUAAAAGAGGACCAUUUUCGGCUAACGAAUAACGUAUAAAAUAAUUGAAGCACAGAUGCAUGCAUAUUUACAGCAUAAUAAAGUCACAGUUGCAAGAAGUGAGUGACCACAAACACCAAAUGAACAUACAUGCCAUUUCCCUCUCUUUGUUAAUAAAAUACAAUUUUCAAGAAAUGCUACCUCAUUUUCAUAUUUAAUGGGUGGAGAACAACAACAAAAAAAAGUCAGUGGUCCAUCAAAAUUACAUCAAAAUAUCACAAUUCAAAAACCACAUUAAUAAAAAUGCAUAUCCUCCUUCUAUAUGAUAAAUAAACCCAGCAACAACAACAAAAACUGCUAAGCAAAAGUUCCCCAAAGCAUCAUGAACGCAAUUUAAAUAAGCCACCUUACCGACAAACUAAAAAGAAAAAGAAAACAACAUAAUUCUGCACACCCCGAGCAAACAUGCUUUUUCAGUGAGCUUUAGCAUUUAUUUUCUUUUUCUUCAUUCACCAUUGAAAGUACACAAUCGAUUAUUUACCUUAAAAGAUGCACGCAGAAAUGCCAAAUAUCAUCACUAUAUUUCAGCUAAAAUCCUUCAAUAAAACACAAAAUAUCAAUAAUGUUUGGGAAAAAAGCAUAUCAACAAUCAACUAGAGCCAGCAUUGCCGAUUAAAAAACCCUAAAUCCCCAAUCAUCUCAUGUUGGAAACAAAAUUAAUCUAAAUUUUCACUUCACACACCAAAAAAACCCUAGCUUUUACCACACUUUCAAAAGGUAAAAAUAAAAAGAAAAGAAGAAUAAAUAUAGUCCAUGCAAGUGGGAAAUGUCGAUGGAAAAGUUCAAAUAUACCAUCAUCGAAGAAUGAGUCGUCACUGGCAUCAUCCUCAUCAACUUCGUAAGCGGCAUCGUCAAAGAACUGAAGAACGCCGCGAUUCUUCCGUUUCCGACCACCAGUUUUGCCGUCGUCACCACCGCCGAUGUUACGCUUCCUCUUCCCCGACGAGCCUUUGCCGCCGUCAAUGACCUUCUCUUUACCCUUCGCCGAUGGGGCCAUUCCUGAGGGCACUUUUAUCCCUUCUUUUUUGUUUUAAUAAUUAGUACUAGUAUUUAUCAUCUGCGGAGAAUUCUACAGCUGCUCGUACGAACUCACGCAGAAUGAGUGAGUGACACAGUGAAUAGAGUGUUGUGAAACGCUUUCUUCGGAGAGUGGAAUCGUGAGCUAUACACAAAGGUGCAAGAUUGAAGAGUUUUUUUGCGGUUAAGGUCCUUAGUCUAUUGGUUAGUUUUCAAUAACGCUUUUAUUUAGAGAAAAUUACAGUAGUGCCAUUUUUAAAGGUCUAUUCCGUUUUCCUCACUCUCAACAGCGCAAAGAAAUACACGCGCAUACAGAAUCUAAGGUAAUUCCGCCGAUUUACCCAAAAGACAAUUGCUUAUUUCGUAAUAGGCUACGAUUAAGCGACAGAGUGAACCUAAUUCUCCGUCUACUACACAAAGAGUAGUUAAAAACAAUACACUAUUUACCUACUUAGAGUGCUUUACUUCUUAUAAAUUUUAUUUCAAAAGUAAUAUUCUAUAAUUUGUUAGGAUAGUUAAGAGUUGUAAUAUCAGCAAUCAUAUUUCGCACACUUUUGUUGGAUUUUUGACGAUGAAUAAAAAAAUUUGAAAUCUAUUAAAUUAGUGAAUUGUUAAAUACUAAAUUUGAUACAUUUGAUUAUAUAUUACAUUAAGUGAUAAGUGAAUAGUUUAUCACUUAUUUUUUGGAGUAAAUUUUAUUUAGAAAUUUGGGUGCCACUUAAAUGAAUUCAGAUGUUCUAGUUUUGGUUAUCAAACGCAUUUGAAUAUGUUAAAAUCUGAACUCAUUAUAUUUAAAUAUUGAAUUAGAUUAUCAAAUAGGGCGUUAGAGUGUUGUACAUCUUAUAAAUUUUAUUUUAGAAGUAAUAUUCUAAAAUUUAUUAGGAUAGUUAAGAAUUGUAAUAUUAGCAAUCAUAUUUCACACACUUUUGUUGGAUUUUUUUUUUUUUUUUUUAAGGAGAGAUUCCUUUGUUUGGAGGGUGGACUAUAUGUAAGGAGAAAAAGGCAAAAUAAAAGAUUUUAAAGGUCCAGCCACAAAUUUCAACUGAACUGAGUCUUGGUUACACAUAUAUUGGUUUCAUUAUUGUGAUGGUGCAUAACAAUUAGUACUACACAAAACUGCAGAAAAUUGACACCCAAAAACAUUUAGGGUCCGUUUGGUAGGGUGUAGAAUGCUUUCCAUUGGAAGACAUUUUCCUUGAAAGUAAUUUUCUGGGAAAAUAUUUGUUUUCUUCAUUGUUUUCCUGUGUUUGGUUCAAUUCUCAACAAGUGAAAACCGCUAGAUCAAAUUGGGGCCUAUGACUGCUAGUUUUCCUUCAUUAGCAAUCUCCAUCGCAUGCAACAUCACGCUACCACAAAACUCCCCACAGCCCUCAUCCCUGUGCAACAGUUGCAACAGCCCCACGGGCGAUUCGUGCUCAACCCAUAGACAAAUAGGCAAACGGAACGAGACAAGCAACCCGUGGCACCUGGAAAGUGACCAUUUGUAUCGAAGCAUAAGCCAUCAGAAUUGACAAAUACUACCACUUUAUUGGCCUUCUUUCUCCCCUCUCCAUUCCAUUGCAACUUUCUCCAUUGGGCUAACGGUAGCUUCUCACUUUCUUAUUGAUGAUCUUUGUCCUUCCUUUCUUUCUGUCAAGACCACAAUUCCUCUUGAUUUCCGCAGAUCUUAGUCUAAUUUUGUAAGCAUCCGGUGAGAAUAUGUCAAUAAAUGCUUGUAUUUGAACGCACAACGGUGGGAGAAAAAGGGGUACACAUAUGGAGAAGAAGCGAAAGGUAAUUGUUAGUGUUACACUCCCUUGAAUUUUACUCGUAGGCUACAUUUUUUUCUCCGUAUUCUUCUAUUUGUCAACUAUCAAAGAGGUAGUAAUCUAGCGUGAUAGACAUUGGUGUUUGUCCGGUAAGAUUGGACAACAGGUGUAGACAGCGAAAAUUAACUUCAACAAGUUUUUUAAGGAAGCUAUUUUACACUAUAUAAGGCGUAAAAUGUUUUAUACAAGAAAAUAUUUUCAUGUACCAUAAUACAAUCAAAUGCAGGAAUUCAAGGAAAAUAUUUUCGGGAAAAGGUUUUCAGUCAAAACAAACAUACCCUUAGAAAGUCAAACAGACAAUUACAUUGCUUAAUUGAAGCCAAGAAGACCACGAAAAUUGCAAUGGCAAGAAUGUACCUACAAUAAAAGAGAGGGGAGGGGGGACCCAUGACUUUCUGUUUAUUUAUGAUCAGCUGAAGAAACCAUUGCGAUUUCCUUCUCAUUGGCUUCCAUCUCAUCUCUAAACUUCAUGUAUAUAUUUGACUUGUAAUAUUCCCGAGUCCUCAUUACCAAGAUUAAAGAAAUAAGAGCUCCAAGAGUGUUAACGCCGGCUAAUAUUAGAAAAGAUGUCCUGUAACAUUGAGUCCCAAUGCAAGUCAAGUCAGGAACCAUUGAUCUUGUCAGCCCCGCCCUUGCAAGUUGCUUUAAAGCCUCUUUAUCAUAGAGUUUUCCCACAAUCCUCACAUUGAGGAAGUAUGAUCCAAUAGGGCUGGCCAAUUGUCCACAAUUCAAGAGAGUGGAGUAGUACUUCAAUCCAAAAAGUUCAGAUAUAAUCACGAAAACCAUGGUUAACUGGACGCCAUAAGCAAAUCCAACCAAUACUGAUGCAAUGUAAACAGAACCAGGAAAUGGCAAGGCAAUAAUGAGAUCUCCAAUGGCAGGCACCACAAGGGAUAUCGUCAUCAUUAGAGUCCGCGGAACUUUCCACUUCCUCAACAGUUGCUCAGAGCCAAAACCCGAAAGAGCUCUGCCAAAAUAGUUCCAGAUGCUAAGUAGGGAGACAAAUGUGUUAACUGUCUUAGUUGGAUAGCCUAAGGAUUCACCAAUCUGGCCUAAAUUAUCCACUGCUGCUUGACUGCAACCAAGCCCACAAAAUGUGACAAUGAAAAGAAUUAUCAUGUCAGCACUUAAUAAAGCUUGACAUAUGGUAUAAUCUUCACCCCUUUUGGGUUUGUUGCAGAUGUCUCCACAGCAACAACCUUCUUGACGGAACUCAUCAUCCCCUCCUCCUUUAUCUAUGGUACAAUGUGCAGGGACAAUUUCCUGCUUUCUGGGGUUCGAAGACUCGGGCAAAGGUGGUUCCUCGGUAACUACCUGUUAGGGGGUUUUAAUGCAUCUUCCUUCUUUUGCUGCCAAGUCUCUAAUUCUUCUUUCACUGCAACCAGGAAUGGAAGGAAAAGCAGAACACAAACACCUGUUGCACUUGCUACAUAAUCAGCGUGAGAGAAAUUGAAAUAGUUUUGAGCGAUUGUCAGAGCCAUCAGGGUCAGUGCCAAACCCACUGUUAUGAUGAGAUUUUGAUACAUAACCUUCACCUCGUGGGGAUGACCACUAAUCUUCUUCAUUUCCUUGAUGCAGAAGAGGAAAACUAAAGAAAUCACUGCUGGAAGCCAACCAAUAAGAAGGAUCAUAUCUUUGGCAUCAAUUAUGAUAAAUUGCAAGAUAAAGCUGUGUAAAAAUUGCACCACUAAGCCCUACAAAUCCCUUCAUCAGUCCUAACAUCAUCCCCCGACGUUCGGGGAAAUUUUUUACACAGGGAACAAGGGAUCCCGUGUUUGCAAAAUUCUGGGAAUUCGCACCAAUGCAUAUAUAUACACACAUUUGCCAAACUGGGGGUUUUGGUAUUCUUUUGGUCACUGCCAGCCAUACUAGGAAAUAACCAGAAAAAUUCAUAAGAGCACCAACCAAGAGAACAAACCAGGAUGGUGUUACCUCGGCUAAUAAUCCCGACAGCACUCCAAUUGUCGCUCCUAGAUCUUUGCAUGAGCCAAGAAUAUUGAGUGUUGAUUGAUCAUAGCCAAGACUGGAUUUUAUCGCUUUUGAAUAUGCACCAAAAAUGUAAGUCGCACCGGAGCCAGACAUGAUCAAGAAUGUAGCAAACAUCAUGAACCAUCUGCCCCGAAGAAAUUGAACCAUGAAACCACACAAUCCACAGCCAUGACUGGAUGUUAGCACCGUGGUUUCAGCCAUGCCCUUCUCUUCUGCUAUGCUGUGCUUUCUUUGGUAGUUGCUAAUAAGAGUAAUAUGCCUGGCUAAUCGAAUAAGGUAGUUAGCUAAGAAUAUGAUAGUAAUUUCUUGUUUGAGAGAGGAAAAGUGCAAGAAUAUAUAUCCGAUUUUGCAUUCGAUAUUGGAUUUUUCAGAUAAAGAUGUAGUUUGAGUGAAAUAGAUGGCAGUUCAGAUAAACCAGAAUGACGAAGUCUAUGGGAAUAAAAGACAGAUAUUCAGCACGUUCAUUUAACGUAUUCGUGGAGAUUCUUUGUUUCUCUUAUUGCCUUUGGGUAAAUUUAGACUAGAAACAAUUUUUCGUUUUCUGCCAAAUAGUAGAAACAAAUAUAGUACAAAAUUAGGUGUAAAUUAGAACGAAUCUGUGAUUAAAUUGAACUUAAUUAGUUAGCAAUCUCGUAUCACAGCAUUAAAUAGCAAGCUGGUAACGAAAAAGAUAAUAAUGAUGUAACGAUAAUAAUUUGAUAAGAUAGCUUGCCCAAAAAUAUGAAAAUAAAUAGAAUGAUAAAAUAAAAGGAAAGUAGAAAACCAAUUAUAAAUGAAACGGUCCGUAGGGCACUCGUUAAAAUGUAUUUCAGGCGUUAGAUUUUUAGAAAUAUAAGAUUAAUUAGGGAAAACAUAUAAAUGUAAGGGGAUUAUUUAGGAAAAUAUAUAAAUGCAAUAGAAAGUAGUAAUUGUUAGUGCGUUAUAUAUAUAUAGUAGAUUGGGUGGAAUGUAGGUAUGUUAACCCUAUGAAAUUUCAUAAUUUAAAAAUUUUUAAACUAAAGUGUAUGUCAUGACAAAAGAAGAGAAAUUUAAUCUUCGUUGCAUGAUUUGUCUAACAAAUAUAACAGCCACCCGUUAAAACACCUAAAUUAAAUUAUAGAUAACUUAUCAUAUUAACAAUACAUACCAUCACAAUUAGUCUACCUGUACAUUUAGACACUUUUUUCAUAGUAAACGCACUUCUUUAAAAAUUAAUGCAUCCUAUUAAGCACCCGUUAACCAAACAAUUAGUUAUAUUAUUAAAGAGAUUGCUCGUUUCUCUUAAUAUUUAUAAUCAUUUCUCUUAAUGAAGCAUAUGAUUCACUUACCAAAAUUUAUUGUAGAAACGAAAUAAUAAAGAUGACGGGGAUUCAUCAUUGAUGACAUCCCAAUACGGUUUUAUACCGUAUACUGAAGUUAUUGGCGAGUCAGCAGCACAUUGAUUUUAAGCUAUCUUGUGCAAGGAAGACAAACAAAUAUUGGAAAGUAUUAAUUGCAAAUUUCUAGUUUUUUUUUUUUUGGGCCAAAUUUCAGCUUUCUAGAGUAGGCAAAUUUGAUGUGGUGCAAAUCUAGUAGUGGUACAACUUAUUCAGAAGCCAGAGGCAAUCUAUUUGUCUUUUGUAGCUCCAAAAAUAUCAAAUACAUUCUUGUAUGUAUACCCAGUUAACAUUUUUCUAUAUUGCACUAAGGGGCGGUUGAUUAUUUUAAUUGAUUAUAAAUUCUGAUUUCAGAUAAUCAAUUUUUUGAUGUUCUCGAUUGUUUUUAUAUCUUGAUUGUUUAAUCACUAGAAAAGAUAAAAUCCAUGAUUACCCAAAUAGUAGUUUUUACUGAUUCUGAAUAAUCAGUUUUUAUAAUCAAAUUUUGGUAAAUUUAAAGCAAUCAAGAAUAAGGCCUAAUAUUAAUAUCUUUCUCAUGAAGCCGGAAAUGGACCUCAGAAUAUCCGACCAAAAAAGACAUGCACACACACAAAAAAAGAGGAUUUACAUUAAGAUAGUCAACAACCAAAUGCUACCAUUUUAUGAACUACAUCUGAUAAUCAUGGAGCAAGCACGACACAUUUGUAGUAAUUUAAAGCAGUUCAAUUGCCACAUAGUUCAAUUGGCAAUGACCGUGAGUGUGACUGACCCGAAAUUGGGGCUUCAUUUUUCCGCAAAUCAAUACGCCUGAGGGGUGCAGAAGAUUCAAGCUCCUCGACUCGAGUUAGAAUUCCGAAUUCUUGUACUCGAAUACUCAAAAGUUUAGCGAGUCUAAUUGAACUUUUAAUACAUACAUAUAUAUUAAAUUUUUUAUAUUUAUUGUUGUGAAAUAUUAAUUAUAUCAUUUAUUUAAAAUUAUAUAUAAAAUAUUAAUUUUUAUUAGAUGAGCCCGAUUGGACUCAAAUAAGUUCGAUUUAGCUUGAUUAGGUUUAAUUAAACUCGAAUUCGAGUCCGAGCUAGAAUAAGGUAGAUUGAAAUCGAACUUGAAUUUGUGUUCGGUUAUUUCAUCUCGAGUUGAAGUCGAGCAAUGCACACUGUUAGAUCGCGAUUCGACAAGAAUGCAUUCCUAGUCGAUUCAUCCUCUGAACUCUCAAUUUUGGGCUUGAUAGGUCAGCCUACCCAGUUGAAAAUGAAUGGCGGAUCAAAGAACACUGAGUCGGGCUUCCUAGUCCUAACCAUUAAAGGCUCCUGGAUCAUUUUCAUGGGCUUUACGAAUUAGGGGGCAGCUGAGAUAUUUACCAUGUUUCAUGUGACCAUGUGAAAUUGUGCCCUGCGAUGUUAAAUUUAUUUUAGAAAGAAAGUGCCAUUUUUUGAAUGUACUUUUAACUUGGUUGAGCAUAAAUCCUCCCAAAAAAAAAAAAAACUUGGAUGCGACGAGCUUGUGAAAUCGGUUUCGAUCUUGAUUUAGACAGGGGUAGAUGCUAACUCACAAUUGUAGAAGUAACCAAUUAAGGGAUUCAAAGGCAAAAUCUCAAAAAAAAAGAAGCAAAUCCCAAUUGACUUGGUUAUCACUUGAUUUACGGGUACGUUCCUUUUAUAUUCUCCUGCCUUCAAUUUUCGGAGCUCUUACAGUACAAAAAUUGACCUGACAAACCUAAACCAAUGGAUUGAAUGGGGUCAAUUGAUCUAAAACCUACCGUCCAACAUAUGGAUAUCCAUUCCAGAUGAAUCGUAAGUAGGGCAGACUUACGUGAAGACUUGGAUCAGGGCAAUGAAUGUGGAUGGAAAUGGACUUUGCUGGCCGACUACAUGGGAAUGGAUAUGUCUCAUUGGUUAAACGAGUGGAGUAGUAAUUGUCACCACGUCUCAUUCCUACCAUUUCUUUCUUGUUUUUGCUUGUCUCCUCUAUAACUUGAUUACCGUUGGAAGAAGGAACUUCUAACCAUUCCACAAGAAUUAGAGCAAGAAGCCGCUAUUUCCACUCGAAGGAUCUGUGUGUACGUAGUAAUUUGGACCCCAAACAAAGCAAAAAGUCCUGCAAGAAUCCAUUAAAUUAUGGCAGAGAGAUAUGCAUAUCAAUUAUCAAAUCCCAAUUAUUUCAAUGCCUCUGCCGUCCGAAAUCUCUUGAUUCCAAAACAUUCACUGGACUGCAAUAAGAUGCUGUACCAAUUUUCACGCCAGCACAAGUUUUCGAAUGUAAGGGCUGUGUUGGUAGACGAUGAAUCUUUAAGCAACCUAUAGUCACACAACACGUCCUGACCUGUAGCAGUAAUCUGAGCCAAACCUACCAAAAUUUUUCAUUAUCCAAAAAAAAAAAAAAAAAACUUACAGACCUUUUCGGCCACAUUGGCAUAUCAAAUUCGUUGAGUUGCUUGAUUAUUGAAGAUAUCACAUACUGAUUUGGUGCUAAUUUAAUAUCGAGGCACCCUCUUGAAUCUUGAUAAUUAAAUGACAAAAGGGUCCGUAAAAUUGCAGAACUAACUCCAACCGCAGGCAUGCUUUUCCAGCAUCUAGUCUCUGUAGUGGAUGUGAGAUACUCACUGCUGAUUAAAUGCCAUCCAAGCAAAAAUCCAAAUCAUUUCAUUUUCGGGGCCAAUUGCCACUUAUGCCACUUUCCAUGGCCAAGGCACGUCCGCAAUUUCCCUGAAAACGGGAAGAAAAGACAUUAGGAACGCGUGAUAUGAAGCUUGUCUUUGGUAAUUUAACUUCUGCCAGAGCACAAAAUCAUCCCUUUCAGACCGGCUGCAUUGAUAAGUAGGCAUUUUUAACCCAUAAGAUUUUAAAAAAGGUGAUAAAGACACUUACGUGAUAUAACUAUUAUAACAUCCUUAAUUUUUCUUUUUAACAAGAUAGAAUCUAUUCUAUACCUACUUCUACUCUAUAUUAGAGAGAAGAGGAACCUAAAGAGGUCCAAAGAAAAUCGAAAGGGAUUGAGUUCAGACGAGUGCUUACGCAUCCGCUGGUCAAUUUUUUCAAAAAAAAAAACGGAAUUUUUUAACAUGUAGAUCAAGAAAUUUGAUCAUCCCUUGGUGACCAAACUCUAGAAGUGGUUGAGUAGUUGGUUUAUUAUAACGUCCUUACACUAAAGCAGACAUGCUCAUGGAUUACCGUAUAAAUCCGUAACCUGAAAUCUGUAACAUUGGCCAAUGAAUUCUAAAAAAAAAAAUGAAGGGUUGAGUUUUUUUUUUUUUAAAUGAAAAAAGAAAAUCUUGUCUGAUGCCAGAGUAACUCUGAGUCGACAUCAGCCUUGUAUAAUGUAACGCGGUUUCUCUGAAUAUUCAAAUUUCAUUCACUUGCCAGUUGCCGACCAAAAGCAACCAGCCAACCAUUAAUAUUCUUUAAUUUGGGUCGCUGCACAAUUGGGGGACCAUGACAAAAUCUGCAAAGGAAUUGAGAAGAGAACGAACCAUCAAGUCAAACAAGUUGAAAACGAUCUUCAUCAUUCAACACUGUCACUGGACAUAGACUCGGGAGUCGAAACAAAUAGUAGUGAUUGCAGAAGACUCCCCAUCUGAUUUAAUUAAGCAAUUGUUUGAAUUUUCAAGUCAAACAAAGUAAGUAAAUGUUUACGGAAUUGAAACUAAAACAAAAGAAAAAUAUUUUGUACGAUACUAAGCAGCAGAAUACCCAAUUUCUUCUUCUUUUUCUAUAGUGCAGUGGAGACUUGGAAUUUGGAAACAGAGUGGAUUGCGGUUGCAAGCGGAGUCCAGAUAUUUGACAACCUAAAACAGACAAGGUUUGAUAAUUGGAGACUUGAGGGAAUAGAAUGAUUGAGAGUCGAACCCGGAUAUUUUUCUUUACAAGCAAGGAAAAGAAAAGGAUUGUAAUUAUAGACUGGUUCGACCUUAAGCUGGGGUAACGUUAAUUGUACCUGCCUGUAACCUACACAAAUUCUACGUUGACAAAUUACAAUAAUAUUUGGUCUAUUCCUUGUUACGGCUCGGAACAACGGUGCCAUUUCCGGGCAAUGCCAUUUCAGUCUCGGCCGCCUUGGCUUCCUCCCUGAAUUUCUUAUAGAUGUCGCCCUUGUAAAAGUUUCUAGUCCUCGACACCAAAAUCAAUGAAAUCAGCGCUCCAAAAACUGUUACUGCAGUAAUGAUGAUGAAGGCCAAUUUGAAGCACUCUACUCCAUCGCAAUUCAGAUCUUCUCCGUGCUUCCUCUUCAGUCCCAACGCGUUGAGCUGCCUCUCAGCUUCCCUGUCGUAUAGAUGUCCAGCGACCCUCACAUUGAGGAGAUACGAGCCAAUUGGACUGGCCACGGAGCCAAAAUUGUAGAGAGUGGAGUAAUAUUUGAGGCCAAAAAGUUCAGAAAUUAUAGCAAAAAGUAGGGCCAUUGAGCGCCAAAGCAAAAUCCUAUGAUUACUGAUGCAACGUAUAGCCCAUUUGAGACACCAAAAGCUAUGAGAAGAUGGCCUGUGCAGGAUAUGACUAAUAUGAUUGUAAGCAUCAGGGUACGAGGAAAUUUGUACUUGGUUAAAAAGUGCUCAGAUACGAAACCUGAAACCACUCUUCCUAGAUAAUUCCAAAUACUCACGAGUGACACAAAUGUGCUAAUGCUUCUUUUGGGGUAGCCGAGUGAAGCUCCAAUCUGACCCAAGUUGUCAAUUGCCGUCAAAGUACCUCCAACACCACAAAUUGUUGCCAGAAAGAGGAUGAACAUAUCCAUACUGAAGAGUGCCUGAAGUAUGGUGAAAUCCUCACCUCUAUUUGGUGGCCUGAAAGCAGUUCUCCAGCAAGAUACUUCCUGGAUUUCUGUGGUAGGUUGUUGCUCUGUAGUAUUUUUAACUGCGGACGAAGAUGGUAAUUCCACUUGCUCUUCUGUUGAUUUUGGCUGAUAAUCAGUUGCAGCAGCCUGAUCAGGACUGGGAUUCUCAGUGAUAACUUUCAGCUGAGAUAUACCAUCCAGGGCAGCUUUCUUUUUCCUCCACGUAUCAAGCUCUUCUUGAAUAACAACGGCAAUUGGUAAAAAGCAAAAUAAUGACGACAACACCACUGAUGCUAAACUCACUAUGGCUGAAUUUAAACCUGUUCUGGAGUAUAAUCAUUACCAUGAGAAAUCCAGCGAGCCCAAGUGAGAUAUACAAAACUCUGUAGAAGACUUUCAGCUCGUGUUUGAUUCGAACGACCUUCAUGAUUCGGAUUGUUCGAAGGAAAGCGAAGGAAACAACUGUUGGAAGCCAGGCAAUCAUCAAGAUCAAAGACUUGGUAUCAUCAACAUACACUGCAUGAUAGAGUUGAGUGAUGAUUGCACCACUUAGGCCAACAAAACCUUUGAGAAGUCCAAGCACAACUCCCCGGCUUUCCGGGAAGUUCUUGACUGCUGUGACCAGGGCUCCUGUAUUGGCAAAUGACUGAGAAUUUCCACCAAUACAAAUGUACAAGCACAUGUGCCACACUUGGGGUUUGGAUAUUCUUUUGGUCACGGCUAACCAAAUCAUGAAGUAGCCAAAGAAAUUCAGGACUGCACCCAUUGACAGUACAACCCAUGGUGGGGUGACUUCAUUGAUUAGGCCUGAGAGGACACCAACAUUAGAUCCCAAGUCUUUGAAAAAACUGAGUAAAUUGAGUGUACUUUGGUCAUAGCCAAGGGUUGUUUUGAUCUCUUGUGAGUAAAGGCCAAACAUGUAUGUUGCACCAGCGGCAGCCAUGAUGAAAAUGGUGGCAAAGAUCAUGAACCACCGGCUGGUGAUGACCUGGACGGCAAAGCCGCGCAUGUUUGAGCAGCCACCACCUCCACCAUAAUUGCCAGCAAACACCAUGGUUGAGUUGAUAUGUGUGUUUUUAUUGUUUAAUGCCUAUUGGCAACGACUAGGAGCUUAUGGCAUGCCAAGGAAGUUUGCCAGGAAACAUGACUUAUUUAUAGGAGUAGUUGUCUUGUCCUUAGUUUACAAGUGUUAUUUGGAGAGAGAGAGAGGGAAGAGAGAGAGUACAAAGACUUUAUAGUUGACCAUAGUAUAGUUCUAGGAAGUAAGGAUGCAAACGAAUCGACGAGCCGCUCGAUUCAAGUUCGACUCGAGUUUGAUCAUUAUCGAGCUCAACUUAAUUUUUUCGAGCUCGAGUUUCAAAAUUGUCAGCUCGUUGAGUUCGAACUCAAGUUCGAAUUCGAAAAAAUUAAGUCAAGACUCAACUCGAUUAGAUCAAAUCUCGACUCGGUUCAACUCGUUUGCAACCCUACUAGGAAGGAUGGGUUGUAAAAAGAGAUGAAUAUUUUGUUUGAUUCUUUGGUAAUAUGGAAAGGAACUACCAAAGAUUGUUGUAUAUCAAUAGUUGGAGUUAUACUUGGGAAGAUCACAUGUGAAUUAAGCUUCUUAUCCAUGAGAUUAUUUUAAUAAUGGCGUCGUAAUUGCUGCAUCUUUGAGAUCAAGUUGAUGUUUGAAUUAUGGGCAAAGAGAUCACAGAAUUAUAAAUUUGAAAGAUCAAGGCAAAAACCGGGCGAUUUGUUUCGCUAGUUUCUUUAUUAGUUGUUGGUUUAUCCAUGCACUGAUUUUUUUUUUCUUAAUUUAAUUUAAUGGCUAAUAGCAAAGGAAAAGCAAGAUUCAUUGGGAUUCAGGCACUUGACUAAAUACAUGAUCAUGGAAUCAAACAACAUUUUGAUUCAAUCCAACAGCAAUAUAUGUGUGUGAGAAACUUAAUAUGAAUAGUUACACCAAAUCAUACAAUAUGAUCAAACUUAAUAAGUCAUAACUUAAUAUGAUCAAGUCAACUAUUAGUUGCACCAAAUGAAGAGGGCUAUAUAUAUAUAUAUAUAUAUAUAUAUAUGAAUAGUUAAUACUCCCUGCUCGUUAGCACUUUCCCAGCAAGUGACCUGUUCAUGCUCCAUUGGUUAGUCACAAAAUCAUGUUAAGGCUUUAGAUGGAUUAAGCUCCAGUCUUUGUCAUAAAAGCAACAUUUUCUUUUAUUUGCUUUAAUCAGAAAUAAACAUUCCGUGGCAGAAAAGUACAACUUUUGAGACUAAUAAAAGUACCUAAGCAAAAUAGAAAAGAACUAAGAAAAGAAUCUGUCAAAAUUUGCUGAAUGGUGAUGAUUCUGUUAAGCCAACGACAUUGGCAAUUUUUGCAUAAAAUUACAUGCUCCAUUGUUAGUCCCUAAAUGUCUAAUUUUUAUAGUAAUCUUUAAUUCCUGAAUUAGUAUGAUAAGCCAUAGCACCAUUUCAUCACAAAAACCCACAACUUGAUCAUCAGAUGCUUGUUAAACUGUAUUUGUACAAGAUACACACACACACACACACACACACUAAAGGAUUUAAAAAGUGAUUGGAUUACUUCUCAAUCGAGCUUGAAAAGUUGGACUUUUUUUUUUCCCUGUUGGAGCUUCAAGCCAAAGGCUACAUUAGGUGGCUUUUAUUAAUCUAAUCAUUCAUUGGAGCUCAUAAAUUUUGAUAUCCUUUUACGGCACUAUCCCUCUAAUUAAGUUUCUAUCUCUUAAUUAUACCCUAGCCCGACACGAUUAGAUUCAAUCCAAUUCCAACAUUGCUUUGGUCGAGAGUUUUUGUUGAACUUCCUCUUGCAGUAACUUAAUUAAUGCCUAGUCAUAUGCUUUAUUUUGAUUCUCAUUCAUGUAUUGAGUCACUUUUAGAGAAUCGAACUGCUACCAUUAUUAUUCCACUUGUCUACAGACUCUAUACCCUUUCAUUUUCUUAUCGAGGUAUUGAACCAUGCCUGCCAGGCCUGUCAACAUGGCCGGUACAUCAGGAUAUAUACACAGUUUGUUGAGAUGAAACAUUGUGCAAAAAUGGUUUCUUUUACCAAUAAACUAAAUUAACUCCUCCACAUAAAUCUUAUUAAUAAUAAAAAACAAAGCACAUAGGUUAUGAUGAAGUGGAAGGAUACCUUACAUAAUUACAUAAGCUUUGGUUAAUAGAGAUAUAGCUUAAGGACAGAAGCUCUAUUUUGUUGAUUAUGAAGUUAAAGUUAAAACUAGGAAGACAUGUUUAAACUGAGGAUGAUUGAUAUAUGGCCCCUUAUACUUGCCAGGAUCAGACAAUACAAAAGAAAGAUUUACUCAAAAUUUUCAUCGACUUGAAGAGCAGACAAAGGAGAAGAUUCAUUAUACUUUCCAUGUUUUGAUGUCCAUACGAUUUUUGUGUCAACUAAUUCUCCUAAAGUUCAGAAUUCUCACGCUUCGGACGUGGAUAUUUCACCAUUAGUUGCUUGCCCUUUUCUUCUUUCCGUCCUAAAAAAAUGAAAAUAUAGUUGUUGAAAGCCUAUUAAGAGGGGGAAAAAAACAAGAGAUCACGAUAAGUACAAACAGCCAUGUACGUAACCUCCUAUCAUGUAGUCUUAGACAAAUUCUAUAAAAUGAAGUGGGGCAUCCACGCACUAAGGGUUGGGGAUAUUUUUAGAUGCAUGGACCAUAAAUUCCAAGAGAUAAUUCAUGAUGAAAACCUCUAAAACGGCAGACAGUUGAUUGGGUUAUUUGGGGAUAUUUAACUGUAGUCUUUCUGGAGCUUUUGUGAAAAAAUAUACUCUAGAAAUUUGAUAUAUAUGAGGUGAAAUGUCGCUGAUAAAUUAGAGAUGAGUUCAAUAGUACAGAAGGAACAAAUGUAAGUGGGAGGUUUGGAUUCGAAACUUCCCACUUACAAAAAAAAAAAAAAAAAAAAAAGUUAAAAAUUAAUUUUAAAAUGAUUAAUAAAUGUGUCCAUGAAAUAUGUAAGUUUUUUUUUUGAAAAAAAAAACUUUGCAAACAAGGCCUAUGUUUUCUCAUCAUCACCGUAUUUAGGGUACUGGCUUCGAAAUGUAUAAAGGCGUCAGAUUUGUUCGGAUUUUUUUCUUUUUUUUUUUUCAAGGCAAAACACAUAGAUAAUUUAAUUUAUGGAUAAAAAAAAAAUGCUUGGAGGAAAAUUGUUUGUAUACGCCAAUUCUCCAACCCCUCCUCUUUCUCCUCCAAAAAAAAAAAUAAUUUGAGAAAUUAUUAAGUACAGAGAUAGCAUCCUAUCGCGCUAUAAAUUCAAAUUGGUAGAAAGAUUUAUUGACCAGCUUCUUCUGAUUUAUAGAUACUUUUUUUUUAAUUAGUAACUUUCUCCGAAGAUUUUUUUUUUUAACAGAACUUUCUCCAAAGAAGAGUUAGGCUUCGCGAUUCUAUCUGCUGCCAUUGCCCCACGGAAUAUUCUCCCAUACAAUGCUUUGGGUCUAAACCAACCUCUUCAAUAAAAGAUAAUGACAGCAUUGACGUUAUUGGGCUGUUUAUUGAAGCAAUGUGAUUAUUUAUCUAAUGAACAAUUAUUUUUCAUUAAUGCAAAGUCAGCAGAAGCCCUAACAAACCUAGAAAUAAAUACAAUUAGGUUGGGUAGUUAGCAUGCACCUAGAUCAUGACAUUUUGUGAAGCCUAAUUCCCGGCAUCAACGAGGUUUGAUGGAUAUCACAUGCAACCCCUAAGAUAACUCCUCAUUUAUCAGUUGAAAUGAGGGUACAACGGUAAAUAGAUUAUCAAAUUAACUUUUUAUACACGGAUAAUAUAGUGAUUUUUUUUAUACAAAUAACUAUGGAUGUAUGUCACUUAUGCAUAACUUGAAUUUCAAAAUUAAAUUCAUAUCAUGUGACAUGAUUUAAUCAUGCUAGUAUAAAAAAAUUAUCCACUGACAAUGUAUAAAAAAAUAUACUCUAUCUUAUAUAAAUUUUUUUUAAAAUUUUAGACUCCUCGUACAAUUGACCAAUGAAAUUCAUGCUUAUUAAAAUAAAAAUAGUAAAGCUAAUUCUUGACAUGCAAUUGUCUUUAUAGCAAAUUCGGUAUCUCAGCAUUGUUUUUCUUUUUUUUUUUUUUGAUGAAAUAAAGUCAAUAUUAUUAAUAAAUUAGUUGAAAAUCAUCCAGCGUGAUUUGCUUCACAAAGCAAUUUGCAUUGAUAGUAGAAAAUACGUAGAACAUAUUACAGAUAUAUGUGAUCUAAAAAAAUCAUUAGAUUUAAUAGAGUUACAAAAUAUAAAAAGAUUAUAUUGUGAAUUACAAAUCAUCAGAUUUGACUAAUGGCAAGAAGUACUCGAUACAUAUCUGUGCAUGUCUUUUCCUUCAUAUAUGCUAUCAAACUAGUUUAAAUCCAAAUUUGAUGAUGAGAUCUGACGAGAAAAUUCAAGAAAUUUUAAAUCUAACAUAUAGAUUUGAAAAAAAUUCUUAGAUAUGAGAAAAAAAUAACAAAAACUAAACAAACUUCUCACUGGGAUAAUUUAGGAAAGAAGAAAACUCUCUCUAAUAAAACACAAAGAGAAACAAAACCGUCACUAGAAGAGACUUUAUUACACAAAAAAUAAAAACAGAGGAAGAUGGGUAGAAAGAAGACCAGUUAUAAGCAUUGUUUUUCUUGCAUGUAUUGAGAAGGACCAAUUGAAGAAGAAAAGGUGAAGAGGAACUAAAACAUUUAAUCAAGUAAAAGCUGUAACGAAAGCCAAUGGUAUUUCAAUAAAAUCUCCGAAGGAGUUGGAUAUAUCAGGGAGAUGGAUAAUGAAACCUAUCUCCACUGGGCUGUACGUGAUUAUUAGACUGCGCAACUAAUUUUGUGAGUGUUUAUUUGUAAUUUACGGUAUGAACUAGGGUUAGAUCUACCAAUUUCAUCGUGAAGGUGGAUCGCAUUUCGAAGAAAAAAAUAAAAUGAAUUCAUUUUCGUGAUUAUCAUGCUUACAAUCUUUGACCAUACUUGUUUACAGUAUUUGACAGCAUUCAUAUAUGAUACUAUUGCUCUCACUUUCAACUCAACGGAAAGUGAUAAUUCGGCCUGAAAAUAAUAAACCAACGUGAUGAUAAAGUUGUUAACGAUUUGAUGCAAACCUUGACUCUAUUACUUGCAUGAAAUUAGUUUGAAUCUUAUUGCCAAACCAUUUUCAAGGAUGUCAAAAUUCUCUACUCCUAGGUGAUGUAAAACUCAGGUAUAUUGGUUGAUUUUUCUUGUAAUACAUAGAUAAUGGCGGUUGAACUUUAUACGCUUAACCUCUCAUGGAUCAAAAUCAAGCUUCCUAUAUCGCAAAUGUCUUUUGUGUUGACUAGAAUAUUCAGCUGUUAAACUUGUGGUGCUUGAAGACAAACGGAUGAUUCUGUCUGUGUAUAAUAGCUUUGAACACAUCCCUAUUCUAAUUAUUUCUCAAGAAAGAAAACGGUUUGCUGAUUAUGAGUGUCCAAACAUUUUAAAGAUAUAAAAAUUCUUAAAAGUGUGAGAAACAAUUUAUGGGAAGAAUAAUGCAAACUAUGAAAUAAUUAUUCAUUAUCGAGAUAAAUUCAAAAUUAAUAAUUCCACUUAAUAGUAAUUUAGAAUCCAUUAACUUGUAUACAUAAUCAUUUUUAGCUGAUAUGUACACAUAAGAUAAUCAUAUAUUCACGGAAAUGAAAAUGUUAUGUAGAUUUUCUCGUGCAUCCUAGUUUACACUGUCAAAAACUGAACAAGUCAAACGAUUUGUCAUCCUUUGCUAGGCAGAUUCUUUAAUUACCAGUGGGAAGGCACAUUAAAAAAUAUUCAUAAAAAUGAAGAUAUAAUUUGUUGGCAAUUAUUGGAGAUUUUAUUAGUCUUAUAAUUAAAUGGGAAAUGGGGGUGUAUUUUUCUUUCUUUCUUUCUUUUUUUUUUUGAAAAGAAAGGAGGUGGUUAUUGGUGGUUUUUACUGAUAAGUAUUGAAUAAUUAAUGGUAGAUUUGAAAUAACAAUUAAUGACACAAUUUUUUAUGUAAUACCAAUCUCAUGGCAUAUGCAUUAUAUAGAGAGAGAUACAUUUAGGCCUGCCAUGAGAUUGGAACCAAUGAAAUUCUUCUUCUUUACAAGUUUAAACUUCGACUCAAGGUGAAAACACGAUUAAUUUCUCCAACUACUGCAAAGUUAGGAAUCAAGAGCCUGCACCCCCCCCCCCCCUGUGUGUAUAUCGUAAACUUCCCUUGUUGAAUUUGAUCAACUGAACUAGUUUCAGUCAAACAAUCAAGCUAAUGUACAUGGACCGGCACUCUGAUCCCAGAAAGAUACAUACAGCCACUUCAGAACCAGAAACCAUUUGGAAAUACAGGUCUUCUUCUUCUUUUUUUUGGGUUCCUUUUCUUGGACUGCCACGUUUGUGAUCUAGUCAAACAAGCCAUGAAUUUGCAAGCAUCUAAUCACUAUCACUGAUAAGCAAAUCUUACACGCACCACAUAUUCACCAGGAAUUUUCCUCCAAGAAAAUUCAAUAUUCUUUUUUUUUUUUUCAUCUAAUUAAAUCAUCAGUCGUCGAUCAGUUCAUACAAGUGUAUGUUUUGGAUAAAUGUAGUUGACUAAUUGAGCUGCUGAUCAGCAAGAACUAAUAUCCAUCCACCUGAUUAGGCCUCAAGAUAUGCGAUCACGCUCGGAAGAAGCGUGGUCAAAAGAACUUAUUCGAGUUUGGAUCGAAGCAAUGUGUGUGAAUGCAGCGGUUUUUUUUUUUUCUUUUCUUUUUAAUACAAUUAUUAUGCUUGAUUAAUCAGUCCUGAGGGCCAGGGAAAAAGUCCUUGGCAUAAUAUUCCAGGAACUCUUGGAAAAAAGAAUAGGUUCUAGAAAGGACCUAUAUAAAAAUUUAAAGACAUAAUCACUUGUAUCUAGCAGCAUCAGCAUCGCGAAAGGUUGACGCAUCCCUGUGUGUUUUGAUGUACCACAAGUUUAAUUGCGUAGGAUUGUGCAUCUGUCCAACGUUCGAAAGCUACGGGUGACAAAACCAACUAAUACGGGGCUCGGAAACUUCUUCUGUGUUUGGACAAGUGUGAACAACUGAACUUUCUCUGGUAAAGGUAUGGUUUGCAUUUUCCUGUUCGGAAUGGAGGAAAAUUUUACUUAGACAACUGUUCUCUCAGUUUACAUGCAAUGAUUUUGAUUGUCACAUCAUUCAACAAUGAUAAGCAUCUGGGUUUUAAGUGAUUGAGCUUGAUAGCUAGCGAGUGCCAUUUAAGAGCCAGGAAGAACCCUUUUUUCAUUACUUUGACGGUGAAAUUUCAGUCUAGGUUCAUCAUCAAUGAUGUAGCCAAAUAUGAAAUAUAGGAUGCGGGAGGGUAAGCACAUGUACGUACGUGUUUCAUUUGAAAACAAGGCAGGAAACGUUUCCAACUUUCUCAUGAUCUCAUCAUGUCAAAAUUAAAGACUAAUCAUGGCGUUUCCAAUUCCUACUUUUGAGCCGAUAGAAUCAGGUUUUCAUCAACUUUGUGAAAUGUACGAGAUGACUCCAAAUUGGUAUGUAUGGUAUGGCAACUCAACCUUUUUUCUUUUUUUUUUGAUAAAAACAAAAAGUUCAUUAAUAGCAUCCUGCACCACAAUUUGACUUAAAUCAUUGUAACAGGUGCGAUAGAUCUGAAAAAUUUUGUAAUUAUUUUCAAAUAGAUAAAUCGCUGCAACUCCGUUCUGUGCAUGUUACAAUCGUCAGAUUUUAAGUUAAUGAUGACAUCCGUCGAAAUAGAUUCAACAAGAUUCAAAAUAUGCAUGCAAAUUGUCCUAAAAAUGUAUGCAAAUUCGAAAUGAAACUCGUCGAUAUUUAAGUACAUUAAUUUCGUGUCGACAACUUGCAGGAGAUUUUUCAGCAGGAAACCUUAUCAAAUUCUUUAUUGGCGUUUAAAUGUUCCGCACAAAUGACUCAACCUCAGAAGAACCGACUGACUUAUCUACUGCAUUCCUUGCACGUGCAUGCUGAAUUGGCGUUUAAAUUCUCGAAGCGACAUCUCCGCAGAAGCAGAACCCUCUCUGCGACAAAUACAACUGUCAAAUUAUUUACUAAUGUCUCCUCCCAAAAAACUAGUAAUCUAUCGUCUGUGUUGGGCUGUCAAUUGCCAAGUUCAACCUUAAUUAAACAGGUUUUCAUUAUCAUAAAAAAAUUAAACAGGUUUUAAUCUUGUUUUUCCUGUUCUUCUAGAUUUGGUCUUUCUUUGUUUGGUUUUUCCCAACAGUAAAAUCGCGACAAAUAAAUUGCAAGUUGCAGCAUCAUCUGUUUUUCGGGGUUCGAUUCCGUAGUUGUAGUCCAGUUGGACGAGAGUCACGUUCAAGGAUCGAGUCCCGGGUGACCUUGGUCAGUGAUGUUAGGUAGCCUCUCCCGGCCACGCAGUGAAAUUAGUUAAAGUAGUACGGUAUUACCAGUCCAUAAAUCUCAGAUACCCUAUGUGAUAAAAAAAAAUAAAAAUUGCAGCAUCAUCUAUUAACGGGGGUUGCCAUCAUCUCAUGCGUCUUUUGAGUGAUUCGAGGCCGUCUUGCCUGACAUCAUUUACCUCCACUGACACUCUGUUAAGUAAAAGAUUUAACAAACAUAUAAUUAUAAUAGUUGUGGUCAAAGAUCUAUCACCCAAAAUGCAAACCUGGGGAGUAUUUGUCCUCUCAAGUGUGGGACUAAGUCGUGAUUUCGGUGGAUUGUAAUUUGUUUAAUUGAUCUCACUAUUGUAGGUUACAUCUAACUUUUAUUAUUAAGAAAAAAAAAUAGAAAGGCACAAUAUUCUAGGCAGAUUGAUGCUGUACAUUGGUUGGGUCUAUUAAUUAAAAGUUUGGAGUUUUCCAAUUUAGAAAUUUUGGAUUGUAAUUCUCCGUUUUUUCUCUUUUUUCUUAAAUUUAAUCUGGAAAAAAAGGUCCGAAACCAAAUUUCCAUUGUAUGAAUCUUGAUUUUUGACUUCGUGACAGCUAGAUUUCACCCGUGUACUAGCAUGACAUUUGGUAUUAGGGCUUUUUCAGUUCUUGCAACGGAACCCAUUUUUCAACAACAUAAGAACAAAAAGUGGACAAAUUACCCAUGUUGAAAUCCGUCAACAAACAUCAUCAAGCCUUUAAAGCUCAGUGGGUUGGAAGGUAAGGGUUCACAUCAAUUACCACAUUAAAAUGUGGAUUUGCCUUAAAAAUUCAGGUGGGUGCGUACUGCACUCGUUUGGUCCGAUGGUGAUUCAGUUCCUUCCGGAUUAUUUUUGGAUCUCCUUAGAUCCACUCCCUCCUCCCUUAACGUAGGAUAGAUUAGGAUAUACUGUAAAAAAUAAAAAAAAAUAAAAAAAAAGAAACCCGUCAACACGUGUGAGGUUUUGUUGGACCAUUCAACAAUUCUUAGGGAUGAUUUUUAUUUUCUUGGUCAAAAUAAUUAGGGAUGAUAGGUACAUCCAAAAAUCUGCGCAAGUACCCCCACAAGUCCACUUUCCACAUCUUUCCAAGGAACCUUUUUCUUAUGUCCGACAUUUCUACCAAUCCGAUGCUCACUCGAAAGUCUAGGAAAUUUCACAGCAAGCCUUGGAAAUAAAUACAGAUCCUCGCCCAACUUGCAUCAUGUGCGGCUGAAUAAGAUGAACCAUAGCACAUCAACUUUUUUGGAUACGGAAUAGUUGUUUAUUUCCUAAAGGCUAAAGGUCACCACCAUCUUUGGUCAAUGACCAACUAUCUAAGGCACUUCAAAUUCAGAAAACCAAACUGCUUUUGAAAAGCACAGUUCUAAAGAUGAUGAAUAUCUGACCUAAAUGGUUCAAUGGAAAACGAGCUAGCUAGCCAAGGAAUUGGGAUGCUACUGUACUGUUGCCUUGAUCUUCUAGAGCAGGCGGCAGUACUUCUCAGGUCAACUACUGGACGCGUUUACACACACCAACAAUGGAAAACUUGCAAAUUGAUGUAAUUUCAUCUAGAAGGGAGACUAAUUAAAUCCACACUAUUAUGGUCAAAGUUCUCAAAUUUGGGAAGGAUUAAAUCCACACUAUUAUUAUAUUCUAAAUCUACACAGCUAGCGGUGGUGCAUUGAUAACUUGUACAAUUAAUAUUAAUAAUUUGUAUCAUUGCUAUCAGAACUAAGGUUGCAAACGAAUCGAGUCGAUCUUUGGAUUAAUCGAGCCGAGUCUCAACUAAAUUUUACCAAACUCGAGCUCGAGCUCAAGCACGACGAGCCGGCAAUUUAAAAUUCGAGCUCGAGCUCGAAAAAAAUAAAAAAUAAUUAUUUUAUUUUUUAAAAAAUAAAUAAAAAUAAUAUUUUUUCUUAAUAAAUAUUAAGAAUAUAUAUGUAAUUUUACUAUUAAAAUAAGAAAAUAAAAAAAUAUACAUAUACUUAAAAUAAAAAUAUAUAUAUACUUAAAAUAAAAAAAUAAAAAAUAUUAUAUAUAUAUAUAUAUAUAUAUAUAUAUAUAUAUAUAUAGAUGUAUAUAUACUCGAACUCGCGAAUUGACUCGCGAGCUAACAAGUUUAAUAUUUUGAACUCGAAUUCGAGCUCGACACGAGCUCGAUAUUGAUCGAAUUUGACUUGAGCCGUUGCAGCCCUAAUCAGAACUCAGUGUGAGAUGUGUAUUUAAGAAAUUAGGAUGGACGGGUGUGGAUUUAACUCCUCCCUCUCUCAAUUUGUAAUUUUGUAGGGUUAACCAUUAUCAAGUAUCUACCGGCUCUUGACCCUUGUGCAUACGGCAUACUUAAAUUGACACGAGGGAUGAAAAGCAAAAUCUCCUCCACCAAAGCGAGCAAAAUUUUCCUUUCUUUAAUGAUCGAAGUUGCUCAUUAAUGCACAAAAAACCUUUACAAGACAUGUACACGAGACAGGUUUACUAAAACAAGACCCUUGCAUGUAUGAAGAGUAAACUUUAGAUUUAAAUUUGGGUACUGAUCGAUCAUCAUUCACAAGGGUUGAAUUAUUUGGUCCACGUUCCACCGGGCAAAUUUUACGCAAUCGUGCCACUUGAUUAGAAAGGAGUAAUGAUGAUACUUUUUUUUUUUUCUUGGAUAAAACAGAAGUCGAUAUUAUUAUUAGUGAAAUAAUUGGAAAUCGUCCAGUAUAAUUGUUUGAUAAAAAAAAUAGAAGAGCUGCAUCAAUAGUACGUACAAAAUAUAUAGAAUACAUCACAGAUGUAUUUAAUUUGAAAAUUUAUUAUAUUUCUGCAUUGAACAAGCAUGCCCUUGGUUAGUUUCUUGAUGCGUAUUAGAUAGAUGUCAUCUUAUCCAGAGCAUGCCUUGGGAUUUUUACAUAUCUAUGGAUGGAACAGGGAAGAGAUCAACUAGUGCUUUCAGUUAAUUAAUUUAACGAUGCUUUCCUUGUCAACGUAUUCCUCUCCUCUUCUCUUGUCUGCUUUUGCGAAUUACUACUACAAAAUAUAUCAGGCGGCUGUGCUGUGUCGGAUUUUUUUUAAGCAGUCUAUCCCACCUCAUUAAUUAUAGUAAAAACCAUCAAAAUUAAGAUCAUUUUUCGUCUCACAUAAUCGUACUUUCUGCUCUAUUUCUGUUACCACUUGAUGAGAGAUGGUACAGGACAAACUCUUGCGCACCCACUGACCUAUUUCCUCUAUAAUUGACAUAAAAUAUAUGGAAAUUUUGCUCAUAUAAACUUUUAAGCGACCGGCUGUGUGUGUGCGCGCGCGCGCGUGCAUAUAUGUAUAUGUUAUAUACGAAACAAAGAUCUUCAGAAAUUUUAGGCCUAUGGAAUUGAAUGUGCACUUCAAUGAAAAAAAAAUGAAACUUUAUGUUUUGGUAUUUUCCUGUUUAUGGAACUAAAAGAAUUUGUUGAAGUCUUGAAAUUAAUCAUGCAGUAAAAUUACAAGUCAACUGCUGGUCUGCUAGUACAUGUUGGUAGUCGGCCUAACGGAUAUGGAUCCGAUACAAUUGUCGUUAAUUGUGUUUGGUACAAUCAGGAUGGCACGUCCAGCCAAACUUGAAGCUGCGAAAUUGGGGAAAAGGAUAUGCAUGAAACAUUAAAUUAGCAGCUUGUUAUUAUAGACUACUCUAAUAGUAUAGAGAUAGUUUGACUUAACAAAAAAGUAAAAGGUUGAUGGUGAUGUGACUGCAAAAUCUGUUUUUCCUGAUACAACUCAACGUAGUUAGUUAAUUUAUUGUGUUUAGUACACUAAGCAUUUGUCAAGCGAAGCAGAAAUAUGCUUCAAGGAACCCUUAACUAAUAAUAAAGACACUUUUUUAAGCACAAAGGAGACAGGUCGGUUUAAAGCUUUAUUUCGUCUACCUAAGGUAAACUCCAAUUUUAACUUCCCAAAGUUACGAUAAUCUAAUCUGGCAAGUGGUACUUGGAAUGAUGUGCAGGAAAGGGAACGGAAGGAAGAUGACAAUAACCAAUUUGGAGCUCCAUCUAACAGUUAGAUAGAUGGAAAACCAGCAAAUCUGGCCCUUAGCCAAGAAAUUUCAAACAUAGGAUGUGAAAGUACAUUGCCUGAAUUCUCGUAUUGUCUACGGAUUUCAUCUCCAAGGAAUGCUAUCAAUAUGGACAGGCACAAUCAGAAUUAUAAAGUUUGAUCGCCUCUCUCCAUCAUGAGUCGCCUUUGGUCCUUUAACUUUAGUGUCAUACUUUCUUCACAACCGCCAAAAAACAAAUAGCCCAAGUUGAAAAUGUGGUCAAUUAUUAGUUAGGGAUAGGUUAAAUCCACACUUCUAAUGCAUUAAUAACUUGUAUCACGAGCACUGAUAACUCGCAUCAUUAGCAUUAAAACUCCUACCAGGUGUGGAUUUAAACUGUAAGAUGCAAAUUUAGUAUCAUCUAUUAUUUAUUAAACUUGAAUGCUUGUUUGGAUUGUUAUUUUUCUCCAAAAAAGUUUUACAUUUUUCGUGAACAAAUUUUUCAAUAAUCUUUUUAUCUCUCACAUACAUCACAUCGCUACGGUGCAUCUUCAAACGAUUAUUAAACCCUCAGAUUUUCGAUUUUUGGUAUGAAUAAUUGGAUGUUUAUUUGGGUUGCUAUUUUUUUCUACAAAAUUUUUACGUUUUUCACGAACCCAUUUUUCAAUCAUUUUUUUAUCUCACAUACAUCACAAGUCUAGUCUUUAAAAAGUAAACUUUUCAAACAAUUAUUGAACCCCCCCCCCCCAAGUUUUUAAUUGUUAUACCAUUCUAGUCUUUAAAAAGUAAACUAUUGAUUUUUUUUAUAUCAAUAAUGCAGUUUAAAUCUGGGUGAGAACGUUUGUCUUUGUACAAUUUUUAGCUUCCAAAGCCAAAGACAAUACCAAAUGGCUACGAAGACAACUUUCGUAUUUUCUUACAACCAAAAAAAAAAAAAGCCAAUUUCUUGCUUUCCCAUUCCAUUUGUACGGCACUCAAGUCAUCUCAUGCGUUCAGUUAAGAAACAAAAAACAUACCAAUACACUUUCCAUUUCAGAUUCUGGAAAACGGAGCAUGUCGUAGGACUCUCUCGUUUCUACCACAGCUACCAAUCAACAGCAGUAGCUAAUAUAACCUGAAAGACGCAACUUUCUGAAGAACCAUCCCAACUAUUAGAUCAGUCUGCCGCCAGAGGGGGCAAUAAGCUUUAGUACUUACACAUCACUUGCUCAAAACAUAAUGGGCUCUCUUCUGUACAACGCGGCGUGUAAUUUAGCCUUCAACCACAGUACAAUCAUUUCGGAAAACGGCGCCUGCUCUCCCUUAAGUACAAGGUGAAACACUGAGGCCGACGAUGACCCAGCUAACUGAUUUCGACACAAAUCGAUACUCAUCUCUGCUUGGAGGGGCUUGUGUUUUUAUACAUAGCAUCUUCCGUAAAGCUAUAGGCAAUCAUGACUUCAAGCUGGAAUGACCAGCAAAAACCUUGGCUUCAAACAGCUAGACAGAACAUUACCACAAAAUCACAAAUCAAACGAGAAACAGGUACCUGGCCAAAGAUAUGACCUAUUACUUCCCUAACUGCUUCAAUAACUCAUUCCACGAAUUUAGAUGGUCAAUGGAAAAACAAGCAGACAGCGGCAGAGUAUUAUCCAAUCACCCGUUCAGGAAUAUUACAAGGCUACCAGGCUUAUCUAAGACAGCAUCAGUCCAAAUACCAUUCUAGAUAGCAACAUUCAACAAAUUUACCAAAUU